Pygocentrus nattereri (red-bellied piranha) is the source of this 686-nucleotide long non-coding RNA. RefSeq lists it as uncharacterized. The record is from RefSeq and is a predicted model, not a curated record. The transcript is spliced from 5 exons. Lineage: Eukaryota; Metazoa; Chordata; Actinopteri; Characiformes; Serrasalmidae.
AGGCCAAAGGAAAGUUAACCCUUUCAAAUGUGGUGUCUGAAGCUCAAAUGAUGAUGAGCGCCAAUUUUCACAGCUGUCCAGCCAGAUUUCCAGUCUCCUGCUCUGAGAUCCUCCCGUUCUCCUGCUCUGAUGGUCUGCCCAGUCUCCAGCUCAGCCGGAAACCACACAUCUACAGGUUAUGGAUUUUUCUGGUCUGCCUGUGCCUGUGGCCAUGACAAUGAGUACUGGAUGCCCCACUGAAGCUUUUCAUCUCAUGUGGCCUGCCUACAAUUCUAGUUUACAGAUGGCACUGAUCUAAUACCAGCAAGACGCAUAGAGAAGAAAGAAGUACAGGAUGUCUGAUGGCGUAAUGGACUGCAUGGAAAGGAGAGGCAGGAAUCUCUUCUACAACUUUGCCCAUGACCCAGGAGAUGCGUGGAGCAGUAUGGUCAACAAUCAGCACAAUGUCCCCAACAGUGAAGUUGCGUGAUAUGCGAGUCCACUUCUGACGCUCUUGUAGCUGAGGUCUUCACCCAUCCUCUUCACCCUCUACAUCACGGACUUCAACUACUGCACAGAGAUUUGCCACCAUCAGAAUGGUGACUCUGCAAUAGCUGGGUGUAUCAACAAGGGUCCAUCAGGGGGGUCAGUGUGGACACUGUGGAGGAUUACAAAUGUCUGGGUGUGUAUAUUGACAAUAAACUGGA